This 88-nucleotide transfer RNA is filed under the name Fusarium tricinctum. RNAcentral's name for it is "tRNA-Ala". It matches the Rfam family "tRNA". Rfam says of the family: Transfer RNA (tRNA) molecules are approximately 80 nucleotides in length. Their secondary structure includes four short double-helical elements and three loops (D, anti-codon, and T loops). The record is from RNAcentral. Lineage: Eukaryota; Fungi; Ascomycota; Sordariomycetes; Hypocreales; Nectriaceae.
GGGCUUAUGGUCUAGGGGUAUGAUUUUCCCUUCGCAUCUUUGAAAACAUGCUUGGGAAAGGUCCGGGGUUCAAUUCCCCGUGAGUCCA